Molecule: ribosomal RNA, 458 nt
Filed under: uncultured bacterium
Lineage: Bacteria
Description: partial 16S ribosomal RNA
Rfam family: Bacterial small subunit ribosomal RNA
Source: RNAcentral
CCUACGGGAGGCUGCAGUGAGGAAUAUUGGUCAAUGGGCGAGAGCCUGAACCAGCCAAGUCGCGUGAGGGAGUACUGCCCUAUGGGUUGUAAACCUCUUUUGUCGGGGAGCAAAAGCCGGACGUGUCCGGCUGUGAGAGUACCCGAAGAAAAAGCAUCGGCUAACGCCGGGCCAGCAGCCGCGGUAAUACGGAGGAUGCGAGCGUUAUCCGGAUUUAUUGGGUUUAAAGGGGGCGCAGGCGGAUUUUUAAGUCAGCGGUCAAAUCGUGGGGCUCAACCCCAUCCAGCCGUUGAAACUGGGGGUCUAGAGUGGGCGAGAGGUAUGCGGAAUGCGUGGUGUAGCGGUGAAAUGCAUAGAUAUCACGCAGAACCCCGAUUGCGAAGGCAGCAUACCGGUGCCCAACUGACGCUCAGGCACGAAAGCGUGGGUAUCGAACAGGAUUAGAUACCCGGGUAGUC